RNAcentral lists this ribosomal RNA (425 nucleotides) under uncultured prokaryote. Its description in RNAcentral is "bacterial SSU rRNA". It matches the Rfam family "Bacterial small subunit ribosomal RNA", at positions 355 to 776 of the family's 1533-position model. RNAcentral also lists the same sequence under 1 other name. The record is from RNAcentral.
UGAGGAAUAUUGGUCAAUGGGCGCAAGCCUGAACCAGCCAUCCCGCGUGCAGGAAGACGGCGCUAUGCGUUGUAAACUGCUUUUCCAGGGAGAGAAACUUGCGCACGUGUUGCGCAAUUGACGGUACCCUGGGAAUAAGCAUCGGCUAACUCCGUGCCAGCAGCCGCGGUAAUACGGAGGAUGCGAGCGUUAUCCGGAUUCAUUGGGUUUAAAGGGUGCGUAGGCGGACUAUUAAGUCAGUGGUGAAAUCCUGCGGCUCAACCGUAGAACUGCCAUUGAAACUGAAGAACUUGAGUUUGGUUAAGGUAGGCGGAAUGUGUAAUGUAGCGGUGAAAUGCUUAGAUAUUACACAGAACACCAAUUGCGUAGGCAGCUUACUGAGCCGACACUGACGCUGAGGCACGAAAGCGUGGGGAUCGAACAGG